This 331-nucleotide long non-coding RNA is filed under the name Lathyrus oleraceus (garden pea). RNAcentral's name for it is "Pisum sativum (pea) long non-coding RNA (PSAT_LNC008786)". The record is from RNAcentral. Lineage: Eukaryota; Viridiplantae; Streptophyta; Magnoliopsida; Fabales; Fabaceae.
GACAUCAUCAUCCCCCAAAAAGAUUUCAAAAAUAACAAAAAUUAGUGUAUAAAUUAAUUGAAAUAAAAUAGAAGUCAAGUAAAAAGUCAACCAAGCAAACUAUGUCAUAAAUAAAUCCAAAAUAAAGUGAAAAUUGGAAAUAAAAUUCCAAUAAAAGGUCAAGUUGACCAUGAGACAAUGGUCAACCCUCAUCCCAAAAAUCAGAAAUUAAAAAUAAUUCUAAGUUAUGAAAAUAAAAUAAAUGAAAAAAUGUGUGUCAAAAUGAACUAUUUGAAAUAAAUAUUUGAAAUAAAAUAUUAACAUUAAAUAAAAUAUGAAAAUAAAAAUUAAA